RNAcentral lists this ribosomal RNA (427 nucleotides) under uncultured bacterium. Its description in RNAcentral is "bacterial SSU rRNA". It matches the Rfam family "Bacterial small subunit ribosomal RNA", at positions 29 to 428 of the family's 1533-position model. The record is from RNAcentral.
AACGAACACUGGCGGCGUGGAUUAGGCAUGCAAGUCGAGCGGGAUCCUGUUCCUUCAAUUCUUCGGAAAAGAAGGCGCGGGUGAGAGCGGCGAACGGGUGAGUAAUGUAUGGGUAAUUUGCCUUGAAGCCCGGGAUAGCUACUCGAAAGGGUAGGUAAUACCGGAUGUGCUCGGGUGCUGCAUGGCACCUUAUGUGAAGGCGGGGAUCUUCGGACCUGCCACUUCAAGAUAAGCCCAUAUCCUAUCAGCUAGUUGGUAAGGUAACGGCUUACCAAGGCUUACGGGUAGCUGGUCUGAGAGGACGACCAGCCACACUGGGACUGAGAUACUGCCCACGACUCCUACGGGAGGCUGCAGUCGAGAAUAUUUGUCAAUGUACGAAAGUAUGAACAUGCGACGCCGCGUGGAGGACGAAGGCCUCGUGUAA